UACGAAGGGGGCUAGCGUUGUUCGGAAUUACUGGGCGUAAAGGGCGCGUAGGCGGCUCUGAUCGUCGGAUGUGAAAGGCCUGGGCUCAACCUGGGAAUGGCAUCCGAUACGGCGGGGCUGGAGUGUGGGAGAGGUUGGUGGAAUUCCCAGUGUAGAGGUGAAAUUCGUAGAUAUUGGGAAGAACACCGGUGGCGAAGGCGGCCAACUGGACAGUGACUGACGCUGAGACGCGAAAGCGUGGGGAGCAAACAGG
RNAcentral lists this ribosomal RNA (253 nucleotides) under uncultured bacterium. Its description in RNAcentral is "partial 16S ribosomal RNA". It matches the Rfam family "Bacterial small subunit ribosomal RNA", at positions 524 to 776 of the family's 1533-position model. The record is from RNAcentral.